AAGGGAGACCUAAUUCGGGUAUAAGACGAAAAAAGAGUAGUCGAAACCAAGAAUCAAUCCCAAAAGGUCGGAACGAGGUAUGUGGCUUUCAAACUAGGUUCUGGGUUCACACAAGACCUGAAUCAGGAACAAGGGCUAUUAGCUCAGGUGGUUAGAGCGCACCCCUGAUAAGGGUGAGGUCCCUGGUUCGAGUCCAGGAUGGCCCACCUGCACAGGUGGCAAAAACAAAGAAGCGAGGAAUCAGCACCUUAUCUUAUCUAUAUAUAAGAGAGAAUGCUGGCUCUGAGUAAAGAGUCCAGAGGAACCUUGAAAACUGCAUAGAGCUAAGUGAAAAAGCCAAAAAAGAAGACCGCAA
This 355-nucleotide transfer RNA is filed under the name uncultured Microcystis sp. RNAcentral describes it as "partial 16S-23S ribosomal RNA intergenic spacer". The stretch from base 133 to 206 matches the Rfam family "tRNA". The record is from RNAcentral. Lineage: Bacteria; Bacillati; Cyanobacteriota; Cyanophyceae; Chroococcales; Microcystaceae.